Molecule: non-coding RNA, 25 nt
Filed under: Rattus norvegicus (Norway rat)
Lineage: Eukaryota; Metazoa; Chordata; Mammalia; Rodentia; Muridae
Source: RNAcentral
UGAACUUGAAGAAAGAAGUUCCAGA